This is a long non-coding RNA of Helianthus annuus (common sunflower), 1146 nucleotides long. RefSeq lists it as uncharacterized. NCBI's taxonomy places the organism in Eukaryota, Viridiplantae, Streptophyta, Magnoliopsida, Asterales, Asteraceae. The record is from RefSeq and is a predicted model, not a curated record. The transcript is spliced from 8 exons.
CUUCACUGCUUCACACGAAACCCUAGCCUCCUUCUUCCUUUGGCUUGAAGCUUCUACCGUAACGUUUGGAGGAUUAUAUUCGUGAAUUGUAGUGAUCUGGAAGCCAAAUUUUCGUCAAAUUUAGUUUGAAUUUUAUCAUCUGAUGUAGAUAUCUAUGGUUACGUGAUUGUGUGAAUUGCAUCGUGAUCGAUUUAUGGAGUUUGUUAGGUAAUGGUUCCAACUCCCAUAGGUGAAUGCAAUACUGUUGAUGCUAAACAUAGUUUUUGGAAGUGGAAGUCCUUUCCAGAAUGUUGAACUUGCUUUCUUUUAUGGUGUUGGGAGAAGCAGUUAUGUGUUAAAGAGUCGUAUUUUAGAGGUGUGAGAUGCAAAUGACACACGAAGAAUGGAGCACUACCUAAGAUGACAGUCACAUCGACAAGAAAGCAGUUCCAUUUGUUGAGUGGGGCUGGAUAGGCCAUAGCCCAGAACAAUCGCGAAAUCGCCUGCUGGAAGAUUUACAUUUACACGUGGCAACAUAUUUGGUAUAGUAAUUCUUCAAAGCGUCAACCUUUUCUUUCUGUAUGGCGUGGCAAUUGCAGGUUAGAUUAAGGGCGGGAUUAGGUGUAAUCAAUGUCGUUCUCAAGGAUAACAUAGCUACUGAGACAUAGCCGAUUUAGACGGGAUGAUAUUUGUAAACACUUUUUCAGGGUUGCUUUACCCGUUUCUACUUGCUUUGGUCAACUCAAGUUGGGUCAAAGGAAUCAUUGAAGACAAUAAAGGAAGCUUCAAUCAUAUGCUCCAAGAUGCUAUGAUGAUCGUCAAGCAUUAUGGUCGCGGGUCAGGGUCAGGGGCUACAACACUUGGGAAACCUUUUGUUCAUCCUGCUACCGUAGGUUUGAGAGGCAAAGUAUACGAGCUGCUUAGACAAAAUGCAACAAGAUUCUUGCUGGAUGAUGUUUACAGAAACCCCGGCCCCCUUCAGUUUGAGGGGCCAGGUGCCGAUUCCAAAGCUGUCAAGGCAUUUGUUUGGUGAUUAUAAUUUUGUGUACUUAAUGUGUAUAAUUUGUGGUUGGUUAGGUUGGAAACAACAAUCCACUUUUUUAGUAAUUUAUGUAAUAUGUCAUUUUAUUUGCAUUAAUUUUAUAUAUAUACUUAUUAUUAAUGUAA